RNAcentral lists this long non-coding RNA (343 nucleotides) under Homo sapiens (human). RNAcentral describes it as "non-protein coding FAM95C:9". The record is from RNAcentral. Lineage: Eukaryota; Metazoa; Chordata; Mammalia; Primates; Hominidae.
AUGGUCACUCCUGCUGGAUGUCUAGAAGGUGGAAACUAAGGACCUAGGAAAAUGCCAGAUACAGCCUUUCCACCCUCAUCCAGAGCAGGACAAACAGGCCCGGUGGUGUCAGGAGCCCAGGUCUCCAGCUGGAGGGAACGUCAACCCUGCAGUGGGAGCAGGGGCCCAUCGCACAUCCUAGGCACAGAUGCUAAUGCAGGCACUGCAGGUAAGCUGGGCUUGGUAUCCUUCCCUGGCUUCAGAAAGAAGCCAACAAGGAGCGUUUUGCAGAAUGAAACCUUUGUUUCCAGAAGCACUGCUGACUGUAAGUGGUUGCCGUUUGUGGCAGUGAGCAUUUUGUCCA